UACGAAGGGGGCUAGCGUUGUUCGGAUUUACUGGGCGUAAAGCGCACGUAGGCGGAUCUUUAAGUCAGAGGUGAAAAUCCCAAGGCUCAACCUUGGAACUGCCUUUGAUACUGGGGAUCUUGAGUCCGGGAGAGGUGAGUGGAACUGCGAGUGUAGAGGUGAAAUUCGUAGAUAUUCGCAAGAACACCAGUGGCGAAGGCGGCUCACUGGCCCGGUACUGACGCUGAGGUGCGAAAGCGUGGGGAGCAAACAGG
RNAcentral lists this ribosomal RNA (254 nucleotides) under uncultured bacterium. RNAcentral describes it as "partial 16S ribosomal RNA". It matches the Rfam family "Bacterial small subunit ribosomal RNA", at positions 524 to 776 of the family's 1533-position model. The record is from RNAcentral.